CUUUCAAGGGAUGAGAGAAAGGGACGAGAGAGAGGAGAGGAGAGCUCGGAAUCGUUCCCCAAAGAGGCCCUCAGAAGCAACUCCAGAAAAGCAAACCCAUAAAUUCCAAAUCAACCUUUUGAGAGAAAAGUGAGAUUUUCACAACCAUUCGGCCAAAAUUAGCCAAAACCUUCAACUAGAGAGUGAAACUUCACUCAAAUAUCUUUCCAUCCAUAUGUCGCACGUCCUAAAUGGAGAUCGGGAAGGCCUCCUAAAGCCCCCCGAAAAACACCCUCCAGGCGGGCCAGGAAACACUGAAGAUUUUUCUGAAGUGUUGAGCCCAGUUGGUCACGAGUGGGGAAAAGGCAGUGUUUUUGAGAAAUUGGAGAAAGAAAUGAGGAAAAUAUUGACUUCUAACCUAAACUAGAAUACAUAUAGUUUGGCUUGGUCUCCAUUUUUCCAACAAAAGACAUCUUGAAGUCUAAUGUUAGAGGUUAACGAAAACCUUCGUUGUCAGUUCUUCUUUUCUGCAGAUCUCAUUUCCAGUUGAAGAAGCCAACUUCCAUGUACUUCCAGAGGACAAUUUCUCAGUUUCCUUGGCCAAGAACCACCUGAAAAGGAAACUAGGAAGUAAGGUAAGCAUCUUAGAUGUACGUAUUUUCGAGUUUGAGCAUGUUUUGAUCAUGAAAAUCAAGAGGGAAACCAGCCCGGAGAACUGAUUUCUGAGGUUGAAAUUUUUCUAAAGUGUUUGAAAUAUCUUCAAGAGUGUUGCAUGUGUGCUUCUUGGAGAGGUCGUUUUGAUGUUGUUCGGUGGGUCAUUCUCUGUGAUGUUUAUUGCAUUUGAAAGCUCAUGUUACUUACUUUCACUCGGAUCAAGUAAUGUUUCCUUUAGAUCUCGUAUGCGAUGAGUGUUGGGGCUUGAAUAUGGGCAUGCAACCUGUUUGCUUGACUUUGGUUCAAACCUAGAUUUCAAAAUCAGCUCAACCCACAUAUUUGAGGCCGAUUCCAG
RNAcentral lists this long non-coding RNA (988 nucleotides) under Eucalyptus grandis. RNAcentral's name for it is "long non-coding RNA (EGRA_LNC001082)". Lineage: Eukaryota; Viridiplantae; Streptophyta; Magnoliopsida; Myrtales; Myrtaceae. The record is from RNAcentral.